Molecule: ribosomal RNA, 462 nt
Filed under: uncultured bacterium
Lineage: Bacteria
Description: partial 16S ribosomal RNA
Rfam family: Bacterial small subunit ribosomal RNA
Source: RNAcentral
AACAAACGCUGGCGGCGUGCCUAAUACAUGCAAGUCGAACGGGGAAAGCUUUCGGGUGAGUACUAGUGGCGCACGGGUGAGGAACGCGUGGAUAAUCUGCCUUAGUGUGGGGGAUAACUAGUCGAAAGAUUAGCUAAUACCGCAUAAGACCACGAGAGCUGCGGCUUUUGAGGUCAAAGGUUUUUCGCUCUAAGAUGAGUCCGCGUAAGAUUAGCUAGUUGGUGAGGUAACGGCUCACCAAGGCGACGAUCUUUAACUGGUCUGAGAGGAUGAUCAGUCACAAUGGAACUGAGACACGGUCCAGACUCCUACGGGAGGCAGCAGGAGGGAAUAUUGCAAAAUGGAGGAAACUCUGAUGCAGCGACGCCGCGUGAGUGAUGAAGGCCUUCGGGUCGUAAAGCUCUGUCGCAGGGGAAUAACACAAUGAAGGUACCCUGUAAGAAAGGAUCGGCUAACUUCGUG